AAAAAAAUUAAACUCGUAAAAAUAUACAUACGUUCCGCAAUAUGAUAUUAAAAUUGCAUCAGCCUUUUCAUAGUUUUUUUCUCUGUUUUUUACCUUACUAAAUGAAGUUAGUCGAUCAUUUUUAAUGAAGUAGUGAUCGUUUGGAGCGCACGGAACAACGCAUAUAAUUAAGCAGCAAACGUGAACACAACAACGGCGUAACAGAAAGUUUCAUUUUAGAAAGCAGAUAGAAAUCGGGCAUUGCAAGCGUCUGGUGAGUAAAGCGAGUGUUCUAAUCUGGAGCGUUGUAUGUGACUGAAAACCUCUUGGCAAACAAUGUGCAAUAGCAUUGCCUUGGUGGAGAAUUCAUGACUUGCCCUCUCACAACAAACGAAAUCUGUCAAGGUUGCAAUUCGAAACGGAUUACCAAUGUUUCUAUAUAUAUUGUCAACGGUUUUUGAAGUUGCGAUUUGUGGAACAUCCUCGAAGUCUUCUCGGCCAACUUGAACAACUCAAAAAUACAUUCACGCCACAAACCUUAAUUUUUAUUAACAACUAUUAAUAAAUAUCAAUGCGAGUUUUCCAAGCUUCAUAUGAAAUUUCACAACAGUUCGUUCUAUUGUUAAACUCAAAAUUUUUCUGGCGAAAGAAACCUAUCAAUGUAGCCCGAUUUAUUUACAGAAGCGAAAGGUACUGCAUUUGAAAGCAAGUGAUUUAGGUUGAACAACUGGUAAUCGCUGGCGUGUGGCACAUGCGUACUUUUUUAGGAAGAUUUGUAAGUUUUGCAAAUGGCGUCGCACUUGUGAGUUAAACAGUUAUAGUAUACAAACAGACAAUCAAUGGAGCGCAUAAAGGUAAAUAAAAGAUAAAGAUUUCCCACUCCCGAAAGCAUUCUUCAUGACGAUCAAUCGUUUGAACAAAUUUUCGAAGUACUUUGUCCGAUCUCGUUUCUAGGGAGUUUUUUAAAUUGUGUGCUAAACAACGCGAACAAAGGAAAACUAAAUCUCACGAUGUAUAACAUAAAGGUUUUGCUCAAUCAUUUCGUGCACAUCAACAAUAUUUCCUGACACAAAAACUGGUUUGGACAAGCUUCAGAAAUUCGGUGACGUACCAACAGCUACCACGAGAAAGUUCAUCGUACCAGUUUUUUACGGUGCUAAAGACAGCUGCUCCGUCGGAAUGAGCUAGUGCGUGACUAUCAUUCGAUAUUGCCCGGAUUCGAAACACCGAAAACAGCAGGUCGGUGGCAAAGUUAAAACAUAUAUUUGUGUUCUUUCAUGAACUUUAUUGUUGUGGAAUAUGUGCAGUUUUUUUUUUUUUUUUUUUAUUAUGUUAUAUGUUAUACCUACGUACCAAAUUA
Anastrepha ludens (Mexican fruit fly) is the source of this 1339-nucleotide long non-coding RNA. RefSeq lists it as uncharacterized. The record is from RefSeq and is a predicted model, not a curated record. Lineage: Eukaryota; Metazoa; Arthropoda; Insecta; Diptera; Tephritidae. The transcript is spliced from 3 exons.